Molecule: long non-coding RNA, 1286 nt
Organism: Coccinella septempunctata (seven-spotted ladybird)
Lineage: Eukaryota; Metazoa; Arthropoda; Insecta; Coleoptera; Coccinellidae
Exons: 4
Source: RefSeq, a predicted model, not a curated record
UUUGAAGAUCUUUCUAGCUUUUGUAUGCCGUAUCCUAGGGUAAUCUGUUCUGGUAUUUCCGCCUUAAUUUGUUUUGUCCUGAAAAGAAUAGCUGUUGUCUUUUCCUUGUUUAGGAUGAGUUGAUUUGUGUUGAACCAUUUUUCAAUCUUGAUGAGAUGUUGUCUUGCCUUGUUCUUUUCCCAGGAUAAGAUGUUUGUGUCAUCGGCAUAUUGAGUUAGGAGGGAUUCUAUAUUCUCUUCUGUGUUGAUUAUUUGUAAGUUUAUAUUGGGAUUCCCUUCGUAUUUCAGUUCUUCCAUUUCUGUAAUCUCUUCCGUGUUGAUUAUCUGUAAGUUAUUGGGAUCGAAUUCCAGUUCCUUCAUUUCACGUUGUUCUGUUAGAUAGUUCUCCAAGUCAUUUACAUAAGUUAUGAACAAGAAAGGGCCCAAUAUACCUCCUGCUCUAUACCUAGUUGUUUCAUAGCUAUUUGUGAGAAACCUUUUAUUCCAUCUUUCUCAACUGCUACAUAUUGUCUUCUUUCCUUCAGAUAAGUUUCCAGCCAUUUAUAUGCUUGCUUGACCUCUUAUUCCGUACAUCCAGAGUUUGUAUUCCAAAAGAUCUGAAGCUAGUUCUUCCAGUGCUGCUAGUGGUUAUUCAGUAGUUAUUCAUUGAAAAAACGAGAAAGAAAUUCAAAAAACUUCUGACAAUUAUGACUACAAUGACAAUCGUAUAAAGAAGCCAUUAGAACAUUUAUUAGUAGACGUCUUUAAAAUCAAUGAACUGAGUAUUAGCUUCGUACAUUCAUUCAUAGGUGGCCGCACUGCCGCAACUGUAUUACCGAUUGCCUGCCUCGACUGAAUAAUUAAUCCUUUCGCCAUUUUGGCCCCCUUUCGGGUUUCAUUCCUUUGAAGAACGGUUUUUCAAGUGAUUAUCUUCCUUUUUACAAGCUUUUCGUACCGGAAAAAUUCGUGACUUUUGAAAUUUUUCGCGUUUUCCGUGUCGCAUAAUACUCAACAGUUAUUCCGACUCAUCGUUUAUAAAGAAGAACAAUUAAGCUGCCAUUACACAAUGCAGAUUUUCAACGGAAGGAAAGUACGCUGGGACUGAAAUUGAAUCAAGGAAUUGUUUUCAAGUGAGUUUCAACAUGAAGUCGUGAAGGGAAUGACUUCAAAAAUGUAAAAUAGUGGAAACUGUUGUUCAUCACGUAUGGAUUGCAACGAAAACAGAAUCGAGUUUUUCUUCAAUGUGAGUAAAUUCAUACAUGUAACGUGUAAAAAUAUUUCGAGAUUCCAAAAAUUUGAUGGUUAUGU